Non-coding RNA from Xylaria cubensis, 82 nucleotides. The record is from the annotation of a GenBank genome assembly. Lineage: Eukaryota; Fungi; Ascomycota; Sordariomycetes; Xylariales; Xylariaceae.
UCUCGAUUGGUCUAGUGGUCAGGAUACCUGCUUGUCAUUAUACAAUUCGCAGGUGGCCGGGGUUCGAUUCCCCGAUCGAGAG